CUGGCGUGGGAGGGUGACUGGCGAGAGGACAUGUGUUCAUGGUGCCUGUGUCCUUCAUAACUUGGGUCACAGCAGUUUCCAACAAGAAAGAGAACUGAAACAACCAGGGAAUUCCCUGGCAAGGAGAAGUCCUGCCCAGUCUGCAUCUUUCAGAAGCCAGGAGGAAUGCCCCAGGUUUGUGGGUAGGAGUAUGCAUACACAGUGCUGGUUGUUGGCUUUCCGGAGGCAGAUGGGAGCUGGAAGUCUCACGAAGGGAGAGUAAGAGCCCGAAGGGGCUUUCUCCAACAUUAGACCAGUGAGGCUUCUGCAGCCAGACGGACUCAGGUCUGAGGCUUGGCUCCUACGUGCAACAACUCAAGCAAGUUAUGCAGCCUUUCUGCACCUCAGUUUUCUGCUCUGUAAAAUGGGGACAAAUUGCUGUUGUUGUGAGGACUCAAUGAGAUAUGUGGAAAGUGCCAAGCACGCGGUGAGAAUUGAUAACCGAUUCAUUACAAUGCUGGCUAAUACCCACAGGAACACUGAACUCCACUGUGUGGGAGCUUGAGGGGCCUGUGCUGCCCAUGCCGAGUGUCCACCAUCUCACACUGCUUCUAACACCUUCAAGCCAUCUCCUGAAUCUGGAAUAGUCAUCAUGAGCUGGAGGCUUCCUCAGAAGAACCCUAAAAUCAAGGGGGAUUCUGGUGCCAAGAAAAAUAGCCCAACCCAGCUUCACAGCUGUGAGCCUCCAAUGCGCCCCAGGAAGCUGCCAUCACCAUGGGUAGCGCGACCUGGCUUGAUUUUGCCAAAACAAAGGAAAAUUCCUCCAGCAAUUUCUGUGAAUUUGUUUUGCAAAACUGAAUUGUCUGCUUUUAAUUCCCCUAUACCAAUUAAAUAAAAAUUGGAAUUUAAAAUCCAGUGAAUGACAGAAACCUCACUUUGGAGUGGAUGACAGACCCCACGCAACCUGGGGUCUGGGGUAGAGAAGUGAGAUGCUGGGAACUUCCAGGGAGUGGCGG
RNAcentral lists this long non-coding RNA (995 nucleotides) under Homo sapiens (human). Its description in RNAcentral is "HSALNT0094778". Lineage: Eukaryota; Metazoa; Chordata; Mammalia; Primates; Hominidae. The record is from RNAcentral.